This 774-nucleotide unclassified non-coding RNA is filed under the name Hevea brasiliensis (rubber tree). The record is from RNAcentral. Lineage: Eukaryota; Viridiplantae; Streptophyta; Magnoliopsida; Malpighiales; Euphorbiaceae.
UCUGUUCCUCACACUUCUAUGAGAUCCCAGCUCCCUGAUUGAUGGAGCACUGUUCCCUCUGUACUGAGGUGGGGCAAAAGAUGCAGCAUCCAUAAGAAGAAACCCAUCAGGAUGUCUUGUAUUUAAGGGGGUAAAUGAAGAACUGGAGCUUGCUGAGGCAUUGAAAUACUGGAAAUUCCCAGAGUUGCCUUCAGCAUUCUUUCUCUUGUAUGAACCUCUGGCAAUAUCCAUGAAGUUAUUGUUUGUUCCAUACUCAUCAGCUGAAACUCCAAUGACUCCAUAAUUGGUGGAAGAUGGUAAAUGAUCACAAGACUGGUGACUUAAAGGAAUACCAGCAGAUGGGGUCAUGUAAGGAACAUAGAAGUUGGAUGCAGCAGCAGCAGCAGCAGCACCUAAGUCAAGAUUUGGCACAUGAUGCUGAUGAUGAUGUUGAACACCAUGGUAUUGUGGCAUCCCAUAAAAAAUAGCAUUGUCAUAACGCUCUGGUAGAUGAUGGCCAUCAACAUUAGUUGUACCCCCUGAAGCUGUAACCACUGUCUGAAUAUCAGGCUGUGGGAAGUUGGUUAUGCCCCCCAAGAGAAUGCAAGGCUCAGGAUGUAGAUAUCCCUGGCCUUGCCUAUCCAUUUCUAGAUCAAUCUGACUAGCGCAUAGCAUGUUCCUCUGUCCCAUAACUCAAAUUAUCCCUUGUUAACAUUAACAAAAUCAAGGGCUGGAAUUUCACCGAUGGAUAAAUUGCGACAGAAUACCUAAUUAGAGGAACACUUUGAGAUCUCC